This 72-nucleotide ribosomal RNA is filed under the name Fusarium acuminatum. RNAcentral's name for it is "partial 28S ribosomal RNA". The stretch from base 14 to 72 matches the Rfam family "Eukaryotic large subunit ribosomal RNA", at positions 1 to 59 of the family's 3401-position model. The record is from RNAcentral. Lineage: Eukaryota; Fungi; Ascomycota; Sordariomycetes; Hypocreales; Nectriaceae. RNAcentral also lists the same sequence under 1 other name.
AACUUCUGAAUGUUGACCUCGGAUCAGGUAGGAAUACCCGCUGAACUUAAGCAUAUCAAUAAGCGGAGGAAA